AUAGUGUCAUGUUUGUGGCCAAACAGAAACAUCUGGCUCUCCAGCUCCCUGCAGAGCUCCUGGUCAGCCUGUGAAGGUUUCCAGGCAAAUCACUGGGAAAAGCUGAAAUCUGCAACUUGACGGCAGACGUGGUUCUCCAUGAGGAUGGAAACUCCAAUCUCCACAGCAGAUCACAGGGCAAUAUACCUCGAAGCCCAAGAGGUCAUAAAUGUUGGUCACCCAAACUUCACCGGAAUCUUGGCAGCUAAAAAAUGUCUGCUUAGGAAACAAGGAGAUCUGAAGAUGUCUGCUAAAUUUUUCACCUGUCAAGUCAGAAAACCAAACUUCUGAUCUACUGCUCCACCUUAGGAAAUACUGUCUAAUACCUGUCAAACACUGCAGCUGGGGUCCCUGCCACAAAAACACAUGUGCAUCUAUCCCCAAAGUUAGAUCUGGAAGAGAGCCCUGGAUAAGGGUGGUGGUCUCCCAGAUGUACCUGAAGUAUUCCUCCCCUUAAUUGGGGGAGAAAAUAAUGCUUGGGUCCUGCUGAAACUGCUGCUGCUGUGCUUCUCCAGGUCCUCUCUGCCCCCACCAGAGGCUGACAGCUCUCCGGGGUCCCUCCACAGGGUGAGGCAGCCGGUGGUGGUGGCACAGAGCUCGGUGCUCUGCUGGACUCGGCUGCCCCAAGCCUGUCUCAUGGCAUCGCUGCGAAGCCUGGCACAGGUCCAGGGGUGGAACUGCCUUCAGGAGCUGACAUCUGCAGCAUGGGCACGAGCCCAUCGAUAUUUUACAUGGAGGUUGCUUGCAGUGGUUAAGUCAUUGACCUGGAUGACCUGGCAUCUCCCCAGCUCCCUCCACGUCCCGACGAUCCCUCUUUUCACCACGUGCUAUGGCACAAGCAGUGUCCUGAGGCUGCCUUUAGUCCCAGGCCCUUAUAAUCUGGUACUCUCCCUUUCCCACAAAAAGAAGCAGAUUGCAGCUCCUGUGGAAAUGGCAAGGCUUCACUUCUCUGGGCAAGUCUGGGAAGGAAAAAGAGAUUUUUAAUAACUGAAUAUUGAUUGCUCCCCUCUCAGAGCUGUGUGCGCUGCAGCAUUACAGCACAUGACCCCUCCUUUGUCUUUUUCAAAUGAAAUAAGCCUGCACUGGCUAGAGAAAUAGAUCAUACUUUCUCAUUAAUGAAAUAUUAAUUGUAUGUUUAUAUUUUGGUGUGGCCUAAAGUGAAUAUAAGUGCACAUAAAUAAAACAUUGCCAACUUUAAUAUAAGAUGGGGUUUUCUCACGCUUGUCUUAAAUGAGCUCAUUACACUGGAGAAGGUAAUAAAUAUUUGAUAUCAUAGCAUGUUAAUGAGGUGCUUGCUUGUGAAUUCAAAGUGUUUAGCAUAGUUUUCUCUCCCCUUCAAACAUGUUAUAUAGUGCAAACAUUUUGAA
Molecule: long non-coding RNA, 1406 nt
Organism: Cygnus olor (mute swan)
Lineage: Eukaryota; Metazoa; Chordata; Aves; Anseriformes; Anatidae
Exons: 3
Source: RefSeq, a predicted model, not a curated record